UCGCGCCGGGCGCUCGUCGCUCGCCGGCGGCCAUGGGGGAGGCCGAGGUGGGCGGCACGGGCGCCCCAGGCGACAAGGGCCCAGGCGAGGCAGCCCCGAGCCCUGCUGAGGAGACGGUGGUGUGGAGCCCUGAGGUGGAAGUGUGCCUCUUCCACGCCAUGCUGGGCCACAAGCCUGUCGGGGUGAAUCGGCACUUCCACAUGAUUUGUAUCCGAGACAAGUUCAGCCAGAAUAUUGGGCGCCAGGUUCCAUCCAAGGUGAUCUGGGACCAUCUGAGCACUAUGUACGACAUGCAGGCACUGCACGAGUCUGAGAUUCUUCCAUUCCCAAAUCCAGAGAGGAACUUUGUCCUUCCAGAUGAGAUCAUUCAGGAAGUCCGAGAAGGUGAGACUCGGCCACCACCAGGGCUGGGAAUAAAAAAAGCCUCACCAGGCCAAAGGUGGGGAGGUCUGGGGCCUCCAGGGAGGUGUAAGGAUCCUGCUCAGACCAUGCCUCCAGUGGCACCUGGGAGGUUUUGGGAGCCAAGGGCUGGGGAGAGCGGUGCUCAAAGGCAGUCUCCUGAUGGAUGCCGUCUCGUGAUGGACGCCGAGGCCUGUGUGGGCAGCGAGAAUCGGAAGCAGUCAUGGCCAGACCGUCCCCCAGCGCUGGCCACCACCGUGGGUUUCCAGUGAACGGCAGCUGUCUCCUCCACAGGAAAAGUGGUCAUUGAAGAAGAAAUGAAGGAGGAGAUGAAGGAGGAUGUGGACCCCCACAGUGGGGCUGAUGAUGUUUUUUCAUCUUCAGGGAGCUUGGGGAAAGCAUUAGAAAAAUCCAGCAAAGACAAAGAGAAGAACUCCUCAGACUUGGGGUGCAAAGAAGGGGCAGACAAGCGGAAACGCAGCCGGGUCACUGACAAGGUCCUGACUGCCAACAGCAAUCCCUCCAGCCCCAGUGCUGCCAAGAGGCGCCGCACAUAGACACCUCAGCCUCAGGUUGCCACAGAGAUGCUCCAGCUGCCUAUCUUCAGGUCCCUGGGUGAAUGUGGCCAUCCAGCAGAGAUGCUAGUGGGGCUUCCGCUGUGUCAUCAGACCUCCAGAGCACUUGAUUGGUCCAAAAGGCCAGCAAGACCCUUGUCCACUCUGCGGAUGGCAAAGCCCCUGAGCCAGCCUCUGGCUUUCUCCUGGCUGGUUCCCUUGUGCCCACAGUGUGUGGAGAAGAGCAGGUGUGUGGGGCCAGAGGACCAAGAGUCAGCAAUAAGACGCCAGCCUCACUGUCCUCAGGAGCCACGCAUCCUCCCUGGGUGCCCACUCUUUGCAUCUGCUUUUCCUGUAAGACUCCACUGUGCACAGAGAAGGUGUCUUUGGAGUUCACACAGCACACACUGUGCACAGAAGGCCUCCCCACCUGGGAGAUAGAACUGGAUAUUUUGCCUCAUUCACUUGUACUGUAAUAGUGUAUAUAACUUAGUUGGUAUUUCACUAUUUAAUUUUUAAGAAGCCUAUUUUAUUAGUGUUUUGUAUGAAGAAAAAUACUGCAGAAGUUAAACCUGUGUUGUGUUUUUUUGAGCUGUUUUGUUUUAAGGUAACUACUGAGAUACAUCUGGCUGUUUUUAUAUGCCAGAUACAGAGAAUUUUUAGCGGUUAUUUUUGUAAUUUUAGUAACUUGGAAAAGACCAAAAAAGGAAGUGGAACAAAGGAACUGCCAUCAGGCUGAAAAACCAAUGGCCUGAUGGUUGAAGUACAUUUUCAUUUGCAGAAUAUUAAAGCA
RNA transcript from Mus pahari (shrew mouse), 1746 nucleotides. It is a transcript of the gene named MRG domain binding protein, with no coding region annotated. NCBI's taxonomy places the organism in Eukaryota, Metazoa, Chordata, Mammalia, Rodentia, Muridae. The transcript is spliced from 4 exons. The record is from RefSeq and is a predicted model, not a curated record.